AUAAUUAGGAUUAAUUUUUCUCGAAUUAAGAAGUUUUAAUUAAAUAUUAAUAUAAUUUUUUCAUAAAUUUUUAUAAUUUUUAAUUGGAAAUGAAAUGUUAUUCGUUUUUUAUUAUAUCUAGUUUUUUAAGAAAAAAAUUUAAUUUUAUUAUUAUUAAUUUAUUAAUUAAUUUUUAGUUAAUAAUUUUUAAUAUUUAAUAUGUGAAGGGUUGAGCUUUUAUAUAAAUUAUUAAAAAUUUAAUUUUUAUAAUUUUUGUAUAAUUUAAAUUGUUAAUCAUUUUAAUAAUUUAAUAAUUAGUUUUAUUUAGUUAUAAUAUUUAUAUAUUUUUUAAUUUUUUUAUUAAAAAAAAAAGUUUAAUUUUAUUUCUUUUUAUAUUAUGAUUAAAUUAGUAGAUUUUAUGUUUAUAAAAAAAUUUUUAUAUAGGUAGUAGAGAGGAAUUCGGCAAAUAUAUUUUUCGCCUGUUUAUUAAAAACAUCUCUUUUUGAUAAUAAUUUAAAGUUUAAUCUGCUCAAUGAAAAUUAAAUUGCCGCAGUAUUUUGACUGUGCAAAGGUAGCAUAAUAAUUAGUUUUUUAAUUGGAAACUGGAAUGAAUGAUUGGACGAGAAAAUUUCUGUCUUUUUAUUAUUUUUAUUGAAUUUUACUUUUAAGUUAAAAGGCUUAAAUUUUUUUAAAAGACGAGAAGACCCUAUAGAGUUUAAUUUUUAAUUUAUUUAUUAUUAUUAGGAUUUAAUUUAAUAAUUAAUUUAAUAAUUUGGUUGGGGUGACUGUUUGAUAAAUUUAACUCUUUUAAUUUUAAAUCAAUUAUUUUUGAUUAUAAAAUCUAUAUUUUUAAUUUUAAAAUAAGUUACCUUAGGGAUAACAGCGUAAUUUUUCUUUAAAGUUCUUAUUAAA
RNAcentral lists this ribosomal RNA (891 nucleotides) under Curtos costipennis. RNAcentral's name for it is "partial 16S rRNA". The record is from RNAcentral. Lineage: Eukaryota; Metazoa; Arthropoda; Insecta; Coleoptera; Lampyridae.